AUGAAUCCCCUUCCGGCCGCCUCUGAUGUUACGGAGAGCGUGCCCGACGCCGAUGGAGCCAGAAGCGUGCAGGCUCGAAUCGCCCGCGGACCGCCGUCCCAAAGAACAUUCUCUACCUGCGAUUCUCAGAAGUUGAUCGACCUCCGGGGAUUAGUUGGGCUGAUUGACGUCGCCCGUUCCCCAGGUGGUUCCGGUCCUGUGAUCCGCAUCGCCGGUACUAGUUCUCUUGGCCACGCCAUCUACAAGAAGGCACCACGGGAGCUCCCGGGGCUGAUUGACGUCGCCCGUUUCCGAAGAGGUUCCGGUUCCGUGAUCCAGCGGCCGCAGCUGCCACCGCCGCGCUGGUCCCUCAGAGAUUCCUUAAGCGACCCCCUCUUCGAGAUUUUUGCGGUAUAUACGCAUUUCCCUCUCAUUGGCGAAGUAUUGGUCUUCAAUGGCAUGGCCACACAGAUCAUCUGCCAGAGCAAGAGUGUGGAUGCGUUUAAUUCAAGCAAAGCGCAAUGGGAAUUAAAACAUCCCAGAUCUAAACAUGUUUUCAGGAUGGAGCUGCCUCCUACGGGGCCAUCAAGGUACAUCUCAGCCGAAUCAGGCGUUCUCCUUCAAGUGAAGAUUGACCCAACUGAGAAUGAACCUGUGGAGGUAUCCAACAAGCUGGUCGAUUGGUUCAAUUCGCCCAUGUCUGACAAAUGCAACUCUGUCACCAUCCAAACACGCAAAGGCAAAGUAGAUGUGUUAUGCGCGGUGAUAAAUGAUGCUGUGGAGGUCACCCUGAGUGUAUGGCUGUGCAUACCUUGUGAGCUAUGCUCCAAUAGCAUACACGGUUCCAUCACCGCGCACACAGACAUAUUUCAUCGUGAUAUCACCAUAUUCACCAGAGGUGCCAAUUCAGGUGUUAAUCCUCUACAGCGUGUUGCCCAUCCAGUACCGCCCUUUCUCUGCGAUGAAUCGCACCGCCAUGUGUGCCUCCCAUUGGUGCGGCCUUUCCUUGCCGUGCCUAUUCAAGCGACUCGCUUAGAGUUUAAGGGGUCCCUAACGAUAGGGAAAUCCAAAACACUGAGUAUCAAGGAAACAGUUCUUCUCAAUGCAGAGGAUAUUUCGAGCCAGUGGUUCAAGCAUGAAGAUGAAGAUUGCUAUACUAGGCUGUCCCUGUCUAUUAGGUGGGCUCGCUAG
Molecule: ribosomal RNA, 1170 nt
Filed under: Triticum aestivum (bread wheat)
Lineage: Eukaryota; Viridiplantae; Streptophyta; Magnoliopsida; Poales; Poaceae
Description: partial small subunit ribosomal RNA
Source: RNAcentral